CCUACGGGGUGCAGCAGUGGGGAAUAUUGCGCAAUGGGCGAAAGCCUGACGCAGCGACGCCGCGUGAGGGAUGAAGGUCUUCGGAUCGUAAACCUCUGCCAGCAGGGAAGAACGGUCACUGUGCUAAUCAGCAGUGAAUUGACGGUACCUGCAAAGGAAGCACCGGCUAACUCCGUGCCAGCAGCCGCGGUAAUACGGAGGGUGCGAGCGUUAAUCGGAAUUACUGGGCGUAAAGCGCUCGUAGGCGGUAUGUCAAGUCAAGGGUGAAAUCCCCGCGCUCAACGUGGGAACUGCCUUUGAAACUGGCAAACUGGAGUGUGUGAGAGGAUAGUGGAAUUCCAGGUGUAGGAGUGAAAGCCGUAGAUAUCUGGAGGAACAUCAGUGGCGAAGGCGACUAUCUGGCACAUAACUGACGCUGAGGAGCGAAAGCGUGGGUAGCAAACAGGAUUAGAUACCCCAGUAGUC
This 465-nucleotide ribosomal RNA is filed under the name uncultured bacterium. RNAcentral's name for it is "partial 16S ribosomal RNA". It matches the Rfam family "Bacterial small subunit ribosomal RNA", at positions 338 to 795 of the family's 1533-position model. The record is from RNAcentral.